UAGCAAUAGGUAUGCUUAGGGAAGAGCUUGCGUCACAUUAGUUAGUUGGUGGGGUAAUGGCCUACCAAGACGAUGAUGUGUAGCCGGGCUGAGAGGUCGAACGGCCACAUUGGGACUGAGACACGGCCCAAACUCCUACGGGAGGCAGCAGUAAGGAAUCUUCGGCAAUGGAGGAAACUCUGACCGAGCAAUGCCGCGUGAACGAUGAAGUAUUUCGGUACGUAAAGUUCUUUUAUUAGGGAAGAAAAGAUGGUGGAAAAACCAUUAUGACGGUACCUAAUGAAUAAGCCCCGGCUAACUAUGUGCCAGCAGCCGCGGUAAUACAUAGGGGGCAAGCGUUAUCCGGAAUUAUUGGGCGUAAAGGGUGCGUAGGCGGUUAAAUAAGUUUAUGGUCUAAGUGCAACGCUCAACGUUGUGAUGCUAUAAAAACUGUUUAGCUAGAGUUGGAUAGAGGCAAGUGGAAUUCCGUGUGUAGUGGUAAAAUGCGUAAAUAUACGGAGGAACACCAGAAGCGAAGGCGGCUUGCUGGGUCUUAACUGACGCUGAGGCACGAAAGCGUGGGGAGCAAACAGGAUUAGAUACCCUGGUAGUCCACGCCCUAAACGAUGAGUACUAAACGUUGGAUAAAACCAGUGUUGAAGUUAACACAUUAAGUACUCCGCCUGAGUAGUACGUACGCAAGUAUGAAACUUAAAGGAAUUGACGGGACUCCGCACAAGCGGUGGAUCAUGUUGUUUAAUUCGAAGGUACCCGAAAAACCUCACCAGGUCUUGACAUGCUUUUGCAAAGCUGUAGAAAUACAGUGGAGGUUAUCAGAAGCACAGGUGGUGCAUGGUUGUCGUCAGCUCGUGUCGUGAGAUGUUGGGUUAAGUCCCGCAACGAGCGCAACCCUUGUUGUUAAUUGCCAUCAUUAAGUUGGGGACUUUAGCAAGACUGCCAAUGAUAAAUUGGAGGAAGGUGGGGACGACGUCAAAUCAUCAUGCCCCUUAUGACCUGGGCUACAAACGUGAUACAAUGGCUGUUACAAAGGGUAGCUAAAGCGUAAGCUUCUGGCGAAUCUCAAAAAAGCAGUCUCAGUUCGGAUUGAAGUCUGCAACUCGACUUCAUGGAAGUUGGAAUCGCUAGUAAUCGCGAAUCAGCAUGUCGCGGUGAAUACGUUCU
Molecule: ribosomal RNA, 1161 nt
Filed under: Stone fruit phytoplasma
Lineage: Bacteria; Bacillati; Mycoplasmatota; Mollicutes; Acholeplasmatales; Acholeplasmataceae
Description: bacterial SSU rRNA
Rfam family: Bacterial small subunit ribosomal RNA
Source: RNAcentral